This 253-nucleotide ribosomal RNA is filed under the name uncultured bacterium. Its description in RNAcentral is "partial 16S ribosomal RNA". It matches the Rfam family "Bacterial small subunit ribosomal RNA", at positions 524 to 776 of the family's 1533-position model. The record is from RNAcentral.
UACGAAGGGGGCUAGCGUUGCUCGGAAUUACUGGGCGUAGAGCGCACGUAGGCGGAUUGUUAAGUCGGGGGUGAAAUCCUGGAGCUCAACUCCAGAACUGCCUUCGAUACUGGCGAUCUCGAGUUCGGGAGAGGUGAGUGGAACUGCGAGUGUAGAGGUGAAAUGCGUAGAUAUCAGGAGGAACACCGAUGGCGAAGGCAGGUCUCUGGGCUGACACUGACGCUCAUGCACGAAAGCGUGGGGAGCAAACAGG